AGCGGCAGCAGCUCAAAUUUGAAAUCUGGCCCCGGUGGGCCCGAGUUGUAAUUUGGAGAGGAUGCUUCGGGUCAGGCGACGGUCUAAUUCGCUUGGAACAGCGGGUCAGAGAGGGUGAGAGCCCCGUCGAGGGGCCGUCGGCCGCGCCCGUGUGAAGCUCCUUCGACGAGUCGAGUUGUUUGGGAAUGCAGCUCCAAGCGGGUGGUAAAUUUCAUCUAAAGCUAAAUAUGGGCCAGAGACCGAUAGCGCACAAGUAGAGUGAUCGAAAGAUGAAAAGCACUUUGAAAAGAGAGUUAAACAGUACGUGAAAUUGUUGAAAGGGAAGCGCUGGCCACCAGACUUGGGCGCGACGGUUCCCCCGACCCCCCGGUCGGGCUACUCCGCCGCGUCCAGGCCAGCAUCGGUUCGGGUGGUCGGUGAAAGGUCUCGGGAACGUACCGACUCUCCGGGGUCGACUUAUAGCCCGGGGCGUCAUGCGGCCCACCCGGACCGAGGAACGCGCUCCGGCUCGGAUGCUGGCGUAAUGGUGGUCAGCGGCCCGUCUUGAAACACGGACCAAGGAGUCUAACCGCUGUGCGAGUGUUUGGGUGUCAAGCCCCGACGCGGAAUGAAGGUGAACGGAGGUCAGAACCCCCCGCGGGGCGCACGAUCGACCGAUCCGGAUGUCUUCGGAUGGAUUUGAGUAUGAGCAUGGCGGUUGGGACCCGAAAGAUGGUGAACUAUGCCUGGAUAGGGUGAAGCCAGAGGAAACUCUGGUGGAGGCUCGCAGCGGUUCUGACGUGCAAAUCGAUCGUCAAAUCUGGGUAUAGGGGCGAAAGACCAAUCGAACCWYYGKRGUGGUCGCACCCCU
Molecule: ribosomal RNA, 850 nt
Filed under: Placidium deosaiense
Lineage: Eukaryota; Fungi; Ascomycota; Eurotiomycetes; Verrucariales; Verrucariaceae
Description: partial large subunit ribosomal RNA
Source: RNAcentral